CUUGACCGACCCGAGCCACAACGGCCGCCCGGCCGGGCGGUCCUGACCGUACGUCGCCAGCAGCGCCUGCGCCUC
RNAcentral lists this antisense RNA (75 nucleotides) under Kitasatospora viridis. RNAcentral describes it as "ASpks TB sRNA". It matches the Rfam family "ASpks TB sRNA". Lineage: Bacteria; Bacillati; Actinomycetota; Actinomycetes; Kitasatosporales; Streptomycetaceae. The record is from Rfam by way of RNAcentral.